GUAGUAACCAAUAAUAAUUAUUAUGAAUAUUGGAACUUUGAAUUUAAAUUUGCUAAAUGUUUAUUAUGUUUUCAAAUAGUUACAUUACUUACAUUGCAGUUAAAUAAUAUCAAGCAUGAAUACUGUAAGUUCCUAUCAAAAAUAUUAUAUUGGCAAAAUUAUUCAAGAGUGAAACACUAAAUAUAAAAGUUGUACGUAAAGAAACCCUUCUGAGUAGGCAUUAUGGCCAUACAUAGUGGCCAUUUGAUUGUUUGAAAAAUGGUUUUCUACUACCUCGUAAAUAUUAUACAGCAACAAUACUUGAUGCUGUGGGUUUGUUGAAUGAUUCUGUUAGUUAACAUACAAUAAAGCGCAAAUGAAAAAGUUAAUGAUUAAAUUGUCAAUUAUAAGUGCCAAUUAGAGAAUAUGAAUCAUUGCUUGCACUUUUGUUAGGGAAAGCUUUUACAAAAUACGAUGUAACAUAAAUUAAAUUACAAAUCAAUGGCUUAAAUAAAAAAUGUUGCAGCUUUAUAAUGACAAUUUUACAAAAGAGCAGUUUCUAGUUCUUUCUAUACAUUUAUUAAUAGUACUUAGAACAUUUUUUAAUUAUUUCAAGCAAUUGAAAUAUGUACUAUUUUAUUUGUUACUUUUUUUCCAAAAUAGAUCAUUUUUAUUCUUUAUCAGAUUGGGGAUGACAGACCUUUUAUAAUAAUUUGUUGCCAUUGUUACCCAUACAUCGUAGUUGACAAUAUAAUAAAAAUAUUUUCAAUACCGGUUAACUGUUUUGAUUCUAUCGGUCCUAGCAACCUAGAAAUUUACUGUGGUCCAAGUGUAAUUUUCUCUAUUUUUUUAGUUUUUUCUUAAUAAAAAAAAGUUUGACCUAAGAUUUUUAAGAAAAUUGUAUACAAUAUAGCCUCAUUCUAGAUCUAUCUAGGUCAAUUUGAUAAUUUUUAAAAGUUAUAGAGCACUGUAUUUUUAAGUUGAAAAAUAUGUAAAUUUUUUAGCCGUUUUUCACUAUUUUAAAGGGUGAGGGAAAACAUUUUAAAAUGUCGGACCAACGAAGUAUGUUUUGGAGACAAUUUAUUAUUCAUAGAGUUACUACAUGAAGAAAUUAUUUUAGCGGUUUAUAAGAUGUAGAUAUCUAGACACAAAAAAGUAACAACACAUCAUUGUAAAAACAAUAACUUCUCAGCUUCCCAUCGAAGCUAAAGCAAUAUUUCGCUUGUUAUUUGGCAAUUUAUGUUUAAUUUUUAUUUUUUUAGAUUGACGUCUGCAUCAUAUCAAAAAGGCGUAUCAAUACACUUCUUACAUUAACUGGCUACAACGAAGAAUAAUGACAAUAUUGGUUAUUUUAUUUAAUGUUUUUUUUUUUUUAUC
Molecule: long non-coding RNA, 1356 nt
Organism: Adelges cooleyi (spruce gall adelgid)
Lineage: Eukaryota; Metazoa; Arthropoda; Insecta; Hemiptera; Adelgidae
Exons: 4
Source: RefSeq, a predicted model, not a curated record